Felis catus (domestic cat) is the source of this 6085-nucleotide long non-coding RNA. RefSeq lists it as uncharacterized. The record is from RefSeq and is a predicted model, not a curated record. The transcript has 5 exons. NCBI's taxonomy places the organism in Eukaryota, Metazoa, Chordata, Mammalia, Carnivora, Felidae.
UAGAGGGCAGGUCUUUCUAAUGCACAUGCCCAAGUGAGAAAUGGAUUGCCUGGCAAAGGAGUGAGCUCUGUGACUUGUCACAGUGAGCUCUUUGUAUUCAAGCAAAGGCUGGAUUUGUGGAUGGUUUCAAAAGAUCAUCCCUGCCAGCCCAGAAAGCACCGUCAUUAUGACACCUUCUGAGCCAGCCUGGUCCCAGUAAGCAGAGAAGAGAGUGGGAUGCAUGGGGUCGCCUGGCUCCUGGGACCUCUGAACAUUGUCUUAAGGGAUUAAGACAAAUUAUAAAUAAGGAUCAAAAGAGGGUGUCAAUGUGAUGGGUUAGGGGCCCUAAGACUCUUACAGAAAACAAUGAAAAAGGAUGGUAAUUAUACAAAAAACAUUUGUGAAUGCAUCUAUUAGCUGGCAGGAAAGUGAGAGAUACUCAGCCCCAGAACCUCCAGAGAGGCAAGUGGGGCACUGAUGCCAACUUUCACUUUGAGGGUUUUUGUCAACAUAGGAGUAUCAGUUUUUGUAGUCUUAAAAAAUUGAGAGGAGAAAGACAACCCCUUGGGCGCAUCAGGUGGGGAAUCAUAGGAGACCGCUCCUCAUGAAUUUAGGAGUCCAAAGGAUUAAAUCCUUAGUAAAGGAUGAACUGAAAAUAUCCCCUACCCUACUCAGAGGGCAGAAAUAAAACUUUUCUGUCUCCACGCUUUGAUUCUCACCCAGAAUGGCCCUCCCAUGCACCUGCAUUCCCAAGCCACACUCCCUAAGUGCUUUCCCCAAACCUUGAGUCAUUUAUAAGCUUGAAAGUGGUCCUACACACCUCACACACCCUGCCAUCACAUACCCGGCACCUUACAGAAGUAAGCACAUCCUUUCUGAAAGAAUCCACUUUUUCUCAGAAUUCCAAGGGUUUCUACAAGGAAAAUGAAUAAUUUGGAGUGUUAAAAGAAAAUUAUCAAAUAUAAAAGGACACAAUGCAUCAUUCGUGAGAGCCAGAAAAAAAUCAACUUAGGGUUGAUAAAAAAAAAAAAUCAGGUAUUGGUUUUAUCACACGCAGACUAUAAAAUAAGCAUGCUUAAUCUGUUAGGAGAAAUGAAAAAGAAGAUUAAAACGAGUAAAGAUCUAGAACAUAAAGACAUAAUCAAAUGGCACUCCUAUAACUGAAAAAUAGAAUUAAAAUUAAAUACUUAAUGAAUAGGUUGAAGAGCAGAUUAAACCCAGCUCAGGGGAGAACUAGUGAAUGAAAGAGAGAGCCGAACAAGUUAUAAAAAAUGCAGCCCACAAAGAUCAGAAAGCAUGAAAGAGACUUAAGAGAACAUGGAGAACAGAGUGAGAAGCUCUCACAUAUAUCUCAUCAGAGGUCCUGGAGAACAGUAAAGAGAAUGGAGAAAAGGCAGUAUUCAAAGAGAUAAUGACUGAGAACUUCUCAGAAUGAUAAGACAAAAAUCCGUGUAUUUAAGAAGCUCAACAAACUCAAGUAGCUUAACAUUUAAAAUACACAGUACACACAUCAUAAUACAAUUUCAAAGACCAGAUGCAAAGGGAUAAUUUAACAGGGGCUGGAAAGACAAGACAAAUUACCUUCAAAAAAAGUGAGAUCAAGCCCUGCGUCGGGCUCUGCACUGACACUGUGGAGACUACUUGGGAUUCUCUCUGUUCUUGUCCCACACUCUCAGUCUCCCUCUCAAAAUAUUUUUUUAAAUAGCAAUUUGCUUGAUAGCUGACUUGUCAUCAGCAAAAACAAAGUUCAGAAGUCAGUGGGAUAAUACCUGAGAAUAUGCUAAGUAACACACUCUUCAACAGGUGAAAUAACAUUUUCAUAUUUAAAAAAGCAGUGUUUUCCACCACCAAACCCCCAUUAAAUGGAAUUCUGAAGAAUGAACUCCAGGCAGAAAGAAAUUGAUACCAGAUAGAGAUGCGUGAAGAAAGGAACAAUAAAGUGGCACAUACGUUUAUGGCCAUAUAUCACUUUAUCGUAUGAUAUUCUAAUUUAUCACAUGUCCCUACCUUGGCCCUUCAGUUAUGGGCUGAAUGUUUGUGUCUCCUCAAAAUUCCUAUGUUGAAGCCCUACUACUUAUCGUGGCCAUAUUUGGAAAUGGGGCCUCUAAGAAUCACCUGCACAAAGAAGAGGUCAUAUGAGCACACAGCAAGAUGGCAGCCAUCGGGCAGGGGACAGGAUUCUUGGGCAAAGGUCUUCAUUGGGCAUGAGGUUGGCCUGACCGCCCCUGCCCCCCGCCCCAGGCUUGGCCAUGUGGCACGCUUCAGUCAACAAAACACACUCCGAAGUGAUGAAGGACAUUUCUGAGCAGAAGCUUUCAGGACCACGGCCAGAUCUGUCAGAUUCCCUUCCCCAUCAGGGACCACGGAAGCCCCUGGGAGGAGAGCGUCUGUCAGCCUGGGUCUCAGAGGGACCUCACUGAGCAAAGCUCCCUGUCAACUCACAUGAGCCAGAAAUAAGCUUUUGUAAUUUUAAGCCACUGAGUUUUUUAACUAAAAAGAAAAUUGUUUUGGUACUGCUGUCUUAGUCAACUCUGGCUGCUAUGACAAAAUUCCACAGACUGGGGGGACUUAAGCCACAGACAUAUACUUCUUACAGCUCUGGAGGCUGGAGGUGCCUGAUCGGGAUGCCAGCAGAUCAGUUCCCAGGGAGGGCAGCAGUCGUAGCCUCACGUGGCAGAGAGCAGUUUCUUUGUCAGCUCUUUGGGGCUCAGGUCCGACUGCAGAGUGGCCCUGUGUUAGUCUGAAACCACCCCCGCCACCACCAAGAAGCAGUUGCUGGGAUGCAGUUGAACACACAAGAACUUAACUGGGCAGGACGCCUCGGAGAGGAAAUGGAGAAAGCCGGGAGAGCCGUCGCCAGUGAUACAGAGCUGAUCCUGAGGGAAAGAGGAAAGAGGGAGGGAAGGAAGGACAGGAGGGUAGAGGCCAAACGCUCAGUUGGAUUCAGCCUCUUGCUCAGAAAAGGCAAAUCAACUGGAGGUAAAGAGAGGCCUGACCUCCAGAGCCUGGACCUGAUCCUUUUCCCACAUGCUCCCCAUGACAGCUGAGAGGUGCAUGCUCUGGACGCACUUGUAGGGUCAGUAUGGCCAGGUGAGGGCUACAUGAGAACGGAAAUGGGUCGGUGCAUUUGGGGCUAAACUAGGGGCAGGAGUCCUGACAAUGGACCAGAGAUGCCAACAGGAACACAACGCCUUGGUCUGUGACACGUGAGCACCCUGACCUCAUCUUGGCAGCCUCCAGGGCCCAGGCCAGGAACUGGCUCAGUAGGUGCUCAGCAGACCUUUGUGUCAAGAAAGAAUGAACAAAUGUAGCUAUUCUGUUCCUGGUCAUCUCGCAUUCGAAGAUCGAGUCUGAGAGAGAUGAGACCCUGGGGUGGAAACACCAAGGAGAGGUCCCCCUGGACCCACCUGGUCACCCACUCUGCCACCUUCCCUCUGAUCUUCCCCAACACUCCCUUCCUCACCGCACCAUCCAUCUCUUCUGCCUUCUCUCUGGUGUCCAGUUCUGGUGCUGCCUCUCUGCUGGGUCCAGAACCCCCCGGGACAGUUGCGUGGGGGUCACCAGUGUCCCUACAUCUGGAGAAACAAUGGUAUCUUACAAGAGAACAAGGUUCAAGGCGAGAGACAGAGGCAAACACAACAGGUGCAGCUGCAUUCGGUGCUCACCUGUGCAGGGCGCUCUGCGAAGGACACAACGUGCACCACAUCCCCAUUUCACAGAUGGGGAGACUGAGACACAGGUGAAGUGACUAGCCCAGGGUCAGCCAGCCAGUCUUCGGUGGAGCCAGGACCAUCAGGCUCCAAGCCUACCUGUUUGCAUUACCCCCAUCUCAAGUUCAGAAACCAGUACAUGGCUCUCCUUAGGGAUUGUCACCCUCCUGCCACCUGAUCAGCCAGGAGCCUUCACGGCACCCAUUCUGCGACGGAAGGGCCGGGGGCCCAGAGUCCAGGGCCCUCACCCACGAAAUGUCGGUGCUCGGCUCUGAGCCAGGCCGGCCCCGAGCACAGACCGAGCCCUCGACUGUGACAGGACACCUCUGAGCACAAGGUGCCCUGUCCAGCCACGACUGCCCCCAAGCUUCACACCCUGAUGUGCCCAUGCUUGAGUCAGUCUUCGUGCAGUGAUAAUUACCUGUGUGGUGUUAGGACUGCCUGGCUGUCAUCUACCCGGGAUGGAUGGAACCUCUGUCUGGCUUCCCCAGGCUGCACUGGGGACCUGAGUGGGACAGAGAUGGGCACAGGCCUGUGAUGCGAGUCUGGGCCCAGCCCGUGGCAUCGGGGCCUCCUGUCUCCCUCCAGCCUCCCCUGCAAACCCUCUCGAACAUCCCCUGCCUUUGCCCCCCUCUCCUGCUCCUUUAAACUUACGCCAGCAGCCAUCCAUCCGCUUCAGGGUGUAAAAGUCAGGGCUGGUGCCUGUUGCUGAAAUGCUGCGAACUUCCCUGGGUGGGGGGCAAAAUCCUUAGGACCUGGAGGGUACUUUUCUUGUGUCUCAUUCUGCUUUCCGCUCCUUUUUAGAUUUUAUGCAAAAAGUAUUAUUUGUGAUCAAGAAUAAAUACGUAAAAAGGAUAAAAUGAUAAAAAAAAAAAAAAGAGGCAGCGAUUCAAACUGCCACCAUUUAAAAGAUUAGAGCCAUAGAGAUGGUGUGCCGGGGCAGUGAUUUGGGGACUGGGAUGCUUCCUGAUGCUGCGUCCGUGGGGCCUGCCCUGGGGGGUUGGGGAUCAGACAGCGUCAGACCCUGCAGUGACUUCGCCCAGCUCACCCCCAGAAGCCCCCAGCGCCCUGUGAGCAAAUAAUAAAAUAAUACUGCCCGCUUUCGGAGUCAUCAGAGUUGGAGCCGUUAUUAUUUUAAUUAGCCAUCCACUUCCUGGGGGCCCUUCUUCCUCCGGGUCACAGAGAUCCCCAGGCCCCAGACCCUGCGCUGAUGAUGCAGGCAGGACGUGGGUGCCCCACACCCACCCAGUGGGGAGUGACACGCCUCGAGUCUGUCCCCACAGUGCACGUGAGACUUCUGAGUCCCUCCCAUGGCCUGUGAGAACCGUCAUAAUCUGGCCCUGCCUCCCAUCCUGCUGGGGCCUGGGAGCCAUACCCUCUGAUGGCCUCUGUGCCACCUUCUAGCCACAUCCACCUUCUUGCUCUUGCCUGAACAAGUCAGACUCCUUCCACUGACCCCAGGGCCUUUGCAUUGGCUGUUCCCUCUGCCUGGAUGCCUCCCCUGAAUUGGAACACGUCAUUUCCCGUCCCAGCUCAAAUGCCGUCUCCUCGGGGAGGCCAUCCCUGACCAGCACGUCCAAAUCUCCCUCUACGCACCCCACCCUUGCACUGCCCCACAUUUUCUCAUCUUCCUACCAUCAUCUGGCUCCAGCUUUACCCUGCCGCUUCCCUGGUCUACUGUCCACUCUCCCAGCAGGAUGUAUGCUCCACAAUGGCAGGGACCUUGCUGUUGGCUCUCCAAUCCCCCCAGUGGGCCCUGGAGGCAAGGGUUGUACUGCUGAGCUGUACAGACUUCCCUGGGCUCAGGGAACCCAGGAGGUACAUCGUGUCCCAGCUCUGCUGACGAUAACUCUCUGGACUUCUCUGGGUCAUGGACUCCUCAUCUGUCAAAGGAGGAAGGAGAUCUAAUUGCCAGCAUUCCUUCCAGCCCUAGGUGGGGGGAAGGACUUAAACCCUGGAUUCUGCCCUACUGUGUGCACAUCAGGGUGCGGCCAAGUCUACCCAGUGUUCACAACAACCGCGAGAGCUGGGAAUUAGCCCGUUCCGUGGCCUGGGGACCAGAAGGCAAAGUCCCCUGUGCGGGGAAGCCCUCUGGGGUCCCACAGGCCUCAUGUGAGCCCUGGGUCUCCAACUCCAGACCCCGCGGUCUCCUGUCCACGCCAUCCGGCAUGGAGCGCCUAGCCUGGCAGGUGAUGUUGGGGGGGUGGGGGCAGAGAGCAGGUCAGAGGUAGAGAAAGCUUCUCAGAAGAGCCCAGGCACUUGCACGCAGAGCACUGGGCGUUGAUUCAACCCAGUAAAAGUUUAGCCAGCCCUACUCUGUGCUGGGGACACGGUGGGUUGAACAGACCCCGUCCUCAGGAUGCUCUAGGCCUGGGGCGGGGGCGGGGAAUGGAGAA